AACGAACGCUGGCGGCAGGCCUAACACAUGCAAGUCGAACGCCCUAGCAAUAGGGAGUGGCAGACGGGUGAGUAACACGUGGGAACCUUCCCUGUAGUACGGAAUAGCCCAGGGAAACUUGGAGUAAUACCGUAUACGCCCGAAAGGGGAAGAUUUAUCGCUAUAGGAUGGGCCCGCGUAGGAUUAGCUAGUUGGUGAGGUAAUGGCUCACCAAGGCGACGAUCCUUAGCUGGUUUGAGAGAACGACCAGCCACACUGGGACUGAGACACGGCCCAGACUCCUGCGGGAGGCAGCAGUGGGGAAUAUUGGACAAUGGGCGCAAGCCUGAUCCAGCCAUGCCGCGUGAGUGAUGAAGGCCUUAGGGUUGUAAAGCUCUUUUGGCGGGACGAUAAUGACGGUACCCGCAGAAUAAGUCCCGGCUAACUUCGUGCCAGCCGCCGCCGUAAU
Molecule: ribosomal RNA, 448 nt
Filed under: uncultured bacterium
Lineage: Bacteria
Description: bacterial SSU rRNA
Rfam family: Bacterial small subunit ribosomal RNA
Source: RNAcentral